CGAACGGGUGAGUAACACGUGGGCAACCUGGCCCCAAAAAGAAGGGGGGAGUAAACACUUGGAAACAGGUGCUAAUACCGCAUAACCAUAGUUACCGCAUGGUAACUAUGUAAAAGGUGGCUAUGCUACCGCUUUUGGAUGGGCCCGCGACGCAUUAGCUAGUUGGUGGGGUAAAGGCUUACCAAGGCAAUGAUGCGUAGCCGAACUGAGAGGUUGAUCGGCCACAUUGGGACUGAGACACGGCCCAAACUCCUACGGAAGGCAGCAG
RNAcentral lists this ribosomal RNA (268 nucleotides) under uncultured bacterium. RNAcentral describes it as "partial 16S ribosomal RNA". It matches the Rfam family "Bacterial small subunit ribosomal RNA", at positions 99 to 354 of the family's 1533-position model. The record is from RNAcentral.